UUAGGGAUCUUCCACAAUGGGCGGAAGCCUGAUGGAGCGACACUGCGUGAAGGAAGAAGGCCUUCGGGUUGUAAACUUCUGAACCUGUGACGAUAGUGACGGUAGCAGGGAAAAAGCACCGGCUAACUCCGUGCCAGCAGCCGCGGUAAUACGGAGGGUGCGAGCGUUAUCCGGAAUCACUGGGCGUAAAGGGCGCGUAGGCGGUCUGUUAAGUUCGAUGUUAAAGAGCGGGGCUCAACCCCGUCACGGCGUUGGAUACUGGCAGGCUAGACAUCUGGAGAGGGAAGUGGAAUUACCAGAGUAGCGGUGGAAUGCGUAGAUACUGGUAGGAACACCCAUGGCGAAGGCAGCUUCCUGGACAGAGAGUGACGCUGAGGCGCGAAAGUGUGGGGAGCGAACCGGAUUAGAUACCCGGGUAGUCCACACCCUAAACGAUGCAUACUUGGUGUUGGCGGGGUGCCGUCAGCGCCGGAGCGAACGUGUUAAGUAUGCCGCCUGGGAGA
RNAcentral lists this ribosomal RNA (503 nucleotides) under uncultured bacterium. RNAcentral describes it as "bacterial SSU rRNA". It matches the Rfam family "Bacterial small subunit ribosomal RNA", at positions 355 to 880 of the family's 1533-position model. The record is from RNAcentral.